This 18-nucleotide small nuclear RNA is filed under the name Arabidopsis thaliana (thale cress). RNAcentral describes it as "snRNA_12784". The record is from RNAcentral. Lineage: Eukaryota; Viridiplantae; Streptophyta; Magnoliopsida; Brassicales; Brassicaceae.
AGAGAGAUAGUAGGCUAA